Molecule: long non-coding RNA, 999 nt
Filed under: Equus caballus (horse)
Lineage: Eukaryota; Metazoa; Chordata; Mammalia; Perissodactyla; Equidae
Description: lncRNA (ENSECAG00000057003.1)
Source: RNAcentral
UCGGGAUUCCUUCGCUCCCUUGUGGUCAAGAUCCAAAGGAUAAUUUGCAGUGUUCUGAGUAUCUAGAUAGAUGAUGAUGUGGUAGGGGCCCUGAGCACAAUUAUCGUCGAUCCUGAUAACUACCGGGGUGUGCUGUUAGGACAUUCUUCAGGCAAGAGGUCAACAUGAACGUAGCAAAGUCAGGCAUGAAAAACAAUGACGAUGGAAGUAAAGUGCAUCCUCCAGCCAGUCCAGAAGGAGCUUUACAACAACUUCACAGAGAGUACUUGACUGAGAAACCGAGAUGUCCCAGAAAAUAAGACCAACCUGCUCGCCUUUAAAGACACCAUUUUGCACAAUUUCACAAAAAUCUAAGAUAACACAGAAGUUUUAUUACUACAUCAGAGUUGUGCACGCUGAGCGCCAGUGAACUGCAGAAGGUUUAUGGAACAGCUGUCUGAUUCCUGCCCCACAGUGCAACAGGUGAAGCAUCAACAGAGAGAGAAGAUGAGAAGACGUUGGAAGUGUGGGAAGAAUGCUGAAGGUGUGAAAGAGUCUCUUAUGAAACCAGGAGAAGAAAGUGGCGAGGAGGCUGCAGCCUGCCAGGAAGGAUAAGUACCGCACAAUGAUACCAGGGGCAGAGAGCUCAGGUCAUGCUGAUCCACCACAGCGACACAGAAAGCUGAGAAGCAGAUGGAAAUUCAAAGAAGAUGCCACCAAACUGAAAGCCAAUUACACAGCUCCACUGCCACAUGUCUGGAUGCAAGACUUAACAACAAAUUUGGCCAAGUGAUUGUAUAAAAUAUCAUGUGUAUGCAAAAUUUCUUAAAAAUAAAAAAAUGUAUAUUAUUCAUUCAGUAUUUUUCUCCAAUUGGACAAAAAGCUUAAAUUUGGGCAACUGCUUCAAUGAGAUUGCAUAAUUACCAAUGUUUGAAUCUUCAAAGGCAAAUGUGCAGAGUAGAUACGUUUUACUGUAGUUGGUUACAAUUCCGAAGAAGAGAACAUUCCAUCGCUUAGUGG